GGGGAGAAGACAUUGUGUCUUCGAGUCGUUGAUUUCACACUGCCGAGAAAAGCCUCUAGAUAGAAAAUAGGUGCCCGUACCGCAAACCGACACAGGUAGUCAAGAUGAGAAUUCUAAGGUGAGCGAGCGAACUCUCGUUAAGGAACUCGGCAAAAUGACCCCGUAACUUCGGGAGAAGGGGUGCUCUUUAGGGUUAACGCCCAGAAGAGCCGCAGUGAAUAGGCCCAAGCGACUGUUUAUCAAAAACACAGGUCUCUGCUAAACCGUAAGGUGAUGUAUAGGGGCUGACGCCUGCCCGGUGCUGGAAGGUUAAGAGGAGUGGUUAGCUUCUGCGAAGCUACGAAUCGAAGCCCCAGUAAACGGCGGCCGUAACUAUAACGGUCCUAAGGUAGCGAAAUUCCUUGUCGGGUAAGUUCCGACCCGCACGAAAGGCGUAACGAUUUGGGCACUGUCUCAACGAGAGACUCGGUGAAAUCAUAGUACCUGUGAAGAUGCAGGUUACCCGCGACAGGACGGAAAGACCCCGUGGAGCUUUACUGUAGCCUGAUAUUGAAAUUCGGCACAGCUUGUACAGGAUAGGUA
Molecule: ribosomal RNA, 582 nt
Filed under: Staphylococcus aureus
Lineage: Bacteria; Bacillati; Bacillota; Bacilli; Caryophanales; Staphylococcaceae
Description: partial 23S ribosomal RNA
Rfam family: Bacterial large subunit ribosomal RNA
Source: RNAcentral